This is a non-coding RNA of Ciona intestinalis (vase tunicate), 545 nucleotides long. NCBI's taxonomy places the organism in Eukaryota, Metazoa, Chordata, Ascidiacea, Phlebobranchia, Cionidae. The record is from RefSeq and is a predicted model, not a curated record.
GUGAUAUAUAGAACACAUAUCAGAAUGAAAAACACCGUAUUUACUAUUGUACUUGUCGUCGUAUGCUGUCAUUAUGGUGAAUACAAGACACCUGGAUUUUUUGCAACGGCGUCACCAGCGUCUAUUCCCCAUAAGCAUUUUCUACCUAAUGACACAUCUGAGAAUAUAAUGUUCAACUACCUUGACACAUGCCUGAGGAACCACCUCGUCAAUACCACCACACCGGACGUGGUAGAUGAGUGGAAUGGCAGCAUCACACUAUUUUUAGUUCAUACAAUAUUUUCAGAUUGUUACACCGGGCGGAAUUCGACCAAAGGAUCAAUGCACUGUUCGGAGGUAGAUAUAGCCGGAGAGCUAGAUUGGUUUGGAGGUCUUGUAUCGCAUUGCCUCGAAGAUUAAGUGAACAUAUUCCGUUACAACUUGAACUGGAGCACCGACAAGAAAACGACCAGUAUCCUAUUAUACGUACCCAGAAAUUACUUGUAUACCAUGUUACGUGCAUUGUGAUGUGUACCAUUAUGUACAUGCCAAUAAACUGUGUAUAC